UUCUUUUUGGUCAUCAUAAUUUUUCUUCUUGUUGAUGGAGUAUUACUAUUGCAGUGUUAGAUGGAGGAUUAUACACAAAAAAAUCCUUCUAUUUUUUACACUCUCAUUCUUCUUUUUUGUAGCCUACAAAACCCUCAAUUCUACAAGUCUCUUUGAGAUCAAUUUUGGAUUGGCUGCUAAAGCUGAUUUUUCCAUCCAGAGAUUCAAGAAGGCGACGACAAAUACAAGGAGGAGUUUAGGUGGCUUAGGAUCAUCGCCGCCGCGGUGCAUCUUGAAAUGCGG
Molecule: unclassified non-coding RNA, 282 nt
Filed under: Hevea brasiliensis (rubber tree)
Lineage: Eukaryota; Viridiplantae; Streptophyta; Magnoliopsida; Malpighiales; Euphorbiaceae
Source: RNAcentral